UGCCUCCCAGAUCUGAACAGGUGAACUCUGUGUCGUCCCCGAGCAAAGAGUAGAGCAGGCUUCCACAUACCACCGGCGAUUCGACCAGGCUCUGAAGCGGGCGGUGGGGGCUGUGGCGGCGGCAGGGACGGGAAGCAGAUCACGACUUUGCCGGCGACCUGUAUCAACAAAAUGGACUUCCCCUGGAUCCAGUGAGUAGGCCGUGUCUCCUCCUUUUCCAGUGCCUCUAUCUUUGAGGGCGCGGUGGAGGAUGCGGGGGAUAGUACGGUCGCGAGAGAUGGUGGAGCAGGGUCAAUCUGUGAUGGGCAUCAUCCAAGCUGUGGCUAGGGAUGCUGACUUGCUGAGCAGCCGGCUCCGCCCUCCCGACAGGGAAAAUGGAUCCAAACUCACUGGGGUGGACAAAAAUGUACAGAUUGUGAGCCAUGGUAUGAGCUGAUAACCCAACUUUGUAGUUACUACGGUAUGACAUUAGAAGUCGUCUUGCUAUGCUUAGAACAAAGAACAUAAGGAGAUUAGUAAUUCAUAGACAUGCUGUGUUGGAUGGUGACAGAAAGCAAUUUUUGCUGAAAAGAUCUUGUGAGCAGAUGCAUGGAGUUUGGCCAGUUUUCAGUUAACUAGUCUUACUGCGACAGGACGGUUUGGUACAUAUGUGCAAUUGAGUUAACUAGUCUGUCUGCGCUCGUGUGAUCCCAUAUAGUAUCUAUAGAACUGAAUUACAUGGUUAGUAAAAGUGAAAAAAAGCGAACUAAUUGGUAAAAUCGGGUGUCAUUCUAGCUCCAUCGUGCCUCAAACUUCUCCAUCGCCAUUCUAGUUUUACGUAAAGCUAACUGCAGAUCUUGUCUCGCCACAUGUAUGUCAGAUGCCGGCAGUGACACAGGAUCCAGAGACAGUAGGCACAUCAUUCACCCAGAGCUCCCAGAGGACGAUGCAAGCAAAGGCAGCAAUGGUCAGUCAACUGAGCACCAACCCCAGUUCAUGUUUCGUAGUUCCAUCAAGCAUGUAGUUGAGGUGCUAAAUGGGUUUGCCGAGUUCAAGGAAUUGCAUGUCAAAGAAAUCGACUCGGUGGGAUACUGGAGUUGCCGGUGCUGCAAAAGUUGAGCCUGAAAUUUAGUGCAUGGACCAUGAAUAGGGUCGAUGUUCACCGCCAUGCCAUAUCAAACAAUGAAAAUAAGAUUCUCAGGUUCUGGGCCGAAGAUAUACACAAGGUUUUCGGUGCUCCCUACAGCAACUGUGAUGUGAAGGGAAGGGACACCAGCAUUACUGAAGAAUCAAUCGAUUUUAUCAAGAGCUUGCUCGGGAUGAACAAAGCAGGGGUUCGCAGCCUACGUGCAGCCGAGGGAUUUAUAAAGAGGGAUAUCAGAGAUGAGUCAAGCAAGCUGGCGAAGGAUUGUUUUCAGAUUGCAUUUGUCAUAUUUGUGAUGGGCCACUUGCUAGCACCCUCGAUGAAGUAUUACUACUUUCAAAUUGAUUUUUGGGGGUAAUGGCCAACAUAGAGAACAUUGCACAAUUCAAUUUGUGUGAGUGUGUGGUGCAGUGCUUCAUGCCAUCGCAAAAGCUGAAGAAUUAUAUGUCCAAGAGGAGUGGCACCAUCAAUUUGUUUGGGUGUCAUCUUUUUCUGCAGCUGUUGUCUACUAAACAUGAUGUGCUGCCACAGAUCUGCAAGUUCGAUCAGGAGGAUGAUAACUAUAUAUGGCUUUCGACAUGUAAACUCUCCAGUUUCCUAUACGUGCUCUCCCGUUAGCAUAUUCCUCUUUAAAUAUACUAGACUACAGCAGACGUAAUGAUCAUGAUCAUUUUACUCAGUUUCAUUUGAUCUACACUUUUUCCAGCUUAGGCAUGGCAGCAAUGUUUGUUACACCCCUUCCAACUUUGUAGACGUGGAAGAAGCGCGACCUGUAAGACUGUAACUCCCCUACCUGUAAGGACCUUGCAGCAUACCCGAUUGAUAUACUACUGAGGGAGCAGAAUGCAAGAAGUAUGUCCCACAUUUCAACUGCACAACUAGACAUGUUGAAGUUCAGUACUCUCAGCGACAAGUGCAUCUGCUGCCAUAUCCGCGGAUCCACGGACUGUCCACUUAGGCCAUGGCACGCUGUAACAGCUGAUGCGUUACACACGCCAAUUGGUGAAAAGAUUGAUGGACAAGAAGUCGAUAUGUCUGAUUUCGAAGGUGAGAGUUCGGCAGCUGGUGCUGCAUCUCGCUCAAGAGGAAGCGCCGGAGUCAUUCUACGGAAGAAGCCUAGAGAGAUCACAGCGCCUGAAACAGCCAUUUGAGAGCAACGUGUAUUUGGCAAUAUGCACUAAGAUGAAGGAGUUCUCCUCUCAGCUGUGUGUGCCAAAGAUGGUUGUGCCAACAUUGAUCUGGUCACGGGACACACCCUCUUCCGAAACGGAAAUACUUAUCUGGUCGUAUACGCCAGCAAACCUUUCGGGUUUGCACCUUCCCAUCCUGACAUUCCUGAUUUGCUGGAACUGUAUAUGCGACGCAGAUGAGUUACAGAGGUUAUACAUCCUCCAAGUCUACCCUC
This is an RNA transcript of Lolium rigidum, 2528 nucleotides long. RefSeq lists it as uncharacterized. The transcript has 5 exons. NCBI's taxonomy places the organism in Eukaryota, Viridiplantae, Streptophyta, Magnoliopsida, Poales, Poaceae. The record is from RefSeq and is a predicted model, not a curated record.